Molecule: long non-coding RNA, 1895 nt
Filed under: Macaca fascicularis (crab-eating macaque)
Lineage: Eukaryota; Metazoa; Chordata; Mammalia; Primates; Cercopithecidae
Description: lncRNA (ENSMFAG00000065250.1)
Source: RNAcentral
GAGCCAAAUCCUAGAAACCCUUACCCACUUCACCAACACCCGCCAUGAAAACACACAGGAUUCAUGGCUGGCUUGAGGCCAUGAGGCCUUGCCUUGCCUUGCCUUGCUUUGCCUUUUUUUCCUUUCCUUUCCUUUUUUGAGACAGGGUCUCUCUGUGUCUCCCAGGCUGGAUUGCAGUGGCACCAUCCUGACUCACUGCAGCUUCCACCUCCCAGGCUCAAGUAGUCCUCCCACUACAGCCUCCUAAGUAGCUGAGACUACAGGCAUGCACCACCAUGCUUGGAUAAUUUUAAAAUUUUUUGUAGAGAUGGGGUUUCUCCAUGUUGCCCAAGCUGGUUUCAAACUCCUGAGCUCAAGUGAUCUACCUGCCUUGGUCUCCCAAAGUGCUGGGAUUACAGGCGUGAGCCCACAGAGUAAACUAUUUCAAAUGUUCAUGUUUUAGUGCAUGGUAUGGAGACACUUGCAGAUAAUUUUCCCUUUACUUUAGGCUUUGGCCAAUAAAUAGAUUUAUAUAAUGUAUUCAUCAUUUGAAAGUGCAGGUACUGAGCAUUGCCAUAUGCAAAAGAAUCUGGUCCCUGCCCUCAAGAAAUUAAUGAUGAAAUUGAUGUGAAUGAGUGUGUGUGUGAGUGCACAGAACUUGCUUGGAGAUUUGAAUAUCCCUAGUUAGUACUGAGAGAUACAAAACACAGGAAUCUUACUGCUGAACCCAAAUAUGACAAAAUGACACUAGCAGGAAAUAGAAAAGAAACAGAUUGUUCCUGCCACACUGAGAAAAGCAAAUGACACAAUUAUGGGUAAGGAGGAAAAGGAUUCCAGAUAAUUCACAUUCUUAGCGAUAGAGAGACAGAUGACAUAUUUUCCCAAGCCCAGCCCUUGCAGUGAGCUCCAGCCUUGCUCUUGGAGAAGAGCUUUGAGGAAAGGUCCUUUGAUUUUGUCCGUUGGGAGUCCUUAGGGUGAGGAACACUCUCGGUUGUGGGGGUGAAAGCAGUCCCUGUGUUUGGUUGUUCUCUGAUUAGCAGCUAGAUAUCAGAAGAUUGUGAUCAGGUUGUGAAUAUUGUAUUUAUAUUUUUAAAAAUUCCCUACCUUCAGCCUAGCCUCAAAAUUAAAACACCACCAAAACCCCACAUCCUCAAGAAAAAGCAUCAAGCAUGCAUGUCCUUUAUAACUUUAUAUUACAUAUAUAUUCCAUUAUAUUUGUACACACAUAUAUACAAAUAAACACCCGUAUAUACAUUAUAUUUAUGUAUGCAUAUAUAUUAUACACAUAUAUACAUAUAUACCAUUAUAUUUGUCAUAUGUAUGUGUAUAUAUCCCAUUAUAUUACCAUUUUAAAAACACACACUUGCCCUAUGAUUUUUCGCUGCAAUCAUAUCUUUGUAUGGUUUUGGGAACGUGUGUUCUGGGGGAGUUCUCUGUUCUGUGAGGUGGCAACAAGCUUGCACACAAAGGACCUGCCCAGCAGCUGGCCUGGUCAGCCACGCACAUUUCAUUUGCUUGCCCCUCCCACCAAGCCAGGAAGGCAGGCAGCAUUUGUACAGUCAUGUUUAUGGCUAAGGAAACCAAGGCCCAGAAAUCUUAAGCCACGCCUCCCAGUUGAGAGUAGAAUCCAGGUUUUCUGGCCCCAAAGCCUGUGCUUGUCAUCUGAGAUGGCUCUUGAUGGGGUCCCUGCCUGCCAUUGUGAACUUUGGAGAUACUUUUCCCUUGGUAGGUCUGAGGACUAUUGUAUUUCGGUGAUGUGGCCAAACAAAGCAAACAUCAAAGAUAUUUUAUUGUUAUAAUUUGGGCUUUUUAAAGAUGCAUUUAAGGAUUUUUGAUUGCCUUUUCUAUUGUCUCUAUCCUGUGUUUAUAUUGGCUCAAAACAUUUUCAAAGCAAUUAGCAAAAAAAAAAAAAAAAA